RNAcentral lists this ribosomal RNA (253 nucleotides) under uncultured bacterium. RNAcentral describes it as "partial 16S ribosomal RNA". It matches the Rfam family "Bacterial small subunit ribosomal RNA", at positions 524 to 776 of the family's 1533-position model. The record is from RNAcentral.
UACGGAGGGUGCGAGCGUUAAUCGGAAUAACUGGGCGUAAAGGGUGCGUAGGCGGACUGGUAAGUCAGCUGUGAAAGUUUACGGCUCAACCGUGAAAUUGCAGUUGAUACUGUUGGUCUUGAGUAUACAUGAGGUGGGCGGAAUUUGUGGUGUAGCGGUGAAAUGCUUAGAUAUCACAAAGAACUCCAAUUGCGAAGGCAGCUCACUGGGGUAUAACUGACGCUGAUGCACGAAGGUGUGGGUAUCAAACAGG